Molecule: long non-coding RNA, 1122 nt
Organism: Aegilops tauschii subsp. strangulata
Lineage: Eukaryota; Viridiplantae; Streptophyta; Magnoliopsida; Poales; Poaceae
Source: RefSeq, a predicted model, not a curated record
UCGCAGUAUUGUCUCCUGAAUACCUACGACCCCAACUUCCUCUAGCGCCGCCGCCGCCUCGCCCCUCUUCUGCGACCAGCACGCCGUCGUGAAGAAUGCCUCUCCUCCCCCUUCCCAAGCCGCCCUGGAUCUCGCGAUGGAGGUGGCCGCCGCCUGCCAUGGAAGCCUCGCCAACGGCCUCUAGAGUCCCACAUCCCCGAGAUCGACGCGAUUGCAGCCGCCUGGCCGAGGUCGUCGGCCCUCGACGGGCUCCUCCAUCACUUCUGGUUCCCCACAAUGGCUACGGGCCGUCUCCCCCUCUCCAUCCUGCACUCCUCCUUCUCCACUUCAAGUUUCCGGUCGUGGCUGAAGGUCGCUUCUCCCUAUCCACCCUUCCAAUCUGGAGCACAGGUGGAGAGCGUGGUUCUGUGCGGCGGAGAUGGCGCCCCGCAUCUGCGCGCCCAUAAGCCUGAACGGAGCUCCACCGAGGCCAUGGCCUCUCCAGGUGAUACCAUGUUACGCGAAUGCACAGGCAUAUGCAUUGAAAGCUCAUGUCCUGAUGCUACGUGUUUUUUGACAUCGACAAAUUUGAUUCUGUAUACUUGGCCUAGAGAUAAGAUCACUGAAAGUUUCACGAUAAAAAGUACACCUUCCCGAUCAUCAGGCUGUCACUGGGUGGAUAGAGAAUCCUCAGUUAUAUGUUGAUUAUUUCAUUGUCAAAAUCAAGAACGUUGCUGUUACUAAUGUCGCCCAUCUAAGUCACUAAGUCUUGAUCGUAAAAUGCAGUUUGAGCCUUAUAGGAAGGUAGCAGCUGUAUGAUGCUAUUUUGAUUCAGGAGAAUUAAAGACCACAAGCGGAGUAGAUCUUGCCUCGUAAGCGGAGAGGUGAGUACGGGAGGCGGGACGGCCGACAGCGGCAUUCUGUUCGGGGAAGCGUGGACUAGUGAUGCUGGAGCAUAGGAACGGGAAACAUCACCUUCGCCACAGAAUUUUCAAGUAGCCAAUUUACCUUUCUGCCUAAAGAUUUCUUCUCUGCUGUCAGUAUCACUGGUCUUGGGGUUUAUAUUUUGUCAAUAUCAAAAUCUGGGUACUUACCAGCAAACGAAUUGUUGAUCUAUUUACUUGGUCAAGUUCAUUUCUGCUA